UAGAGUUUGAUCAUGGCUCAGGAUAAACGCUGGCGGCGUGCCUAAUGCAUGCAAGUCGAACGGUUUAAGUUCUUCGGGACUUAAAUAGUGGCAAACGGGUGAGUAACACGUGGGAAUCUGCCCAAUAGUGGGGAACAACUCCUCGAAAGAGGAGCUAAUACCGCAUACGGUCUCUCUGUGAAAAGGGAAGACGAAAGCUUCGUGCAAACGAGGCGCUGUUGGAGGAGCCUGCGGCUGAUUAGCUAGUUGGUGGGGUAAAAGCCUACCAAGGCGAUGAUCAGUAGCUGGUCUGAGAGGAUGGACAGCCACACUGGGACUGAGAUACGGCCCAGACUCCUACGGGAGGCAGCAGCAAGGAAUUUUCGUCAAUGGGGGCAACCCUGAACGAGCAACGCCGCGUGGGUGAAGAAGUCUUUCGGGAUGUAAAACCCUUUUCUUGUGGGAAGAAGGAAAGACGGUACCACCAGGAAUAAGCAUCGACUAACUACGUACCAGCAGCCGCGGUAAUACGUAGGAUGCAAGCGUUGUCCGGAAUUAUUGGGCGUAAAGGGUGCGCAGGCGGUCUAUCAAGUCAGAUGUAAAAUCUCCCGGCUUAACCGGGAGGGGCCAUUUGAAACUGGCAGACUGGAGUGCAGGAGAGGAUAGCGGAAUUCCCGGUGUAGUGGUGAAAUGCGUAGAUAUCGGGAGGAACACCAGAGGCGAAGGCGGCUAUCUGGCCUGCAACUGACGCUGAGGCACGAAGGCUAGGGGAGCGAACAGGAUUAGAUACCCUGGUAGUCCUAGCAGUAAACGAUGAACACUAGGUGUUGGGGGAAAUUGACCCCCUCAGUGCCGUAACUAACGUAAUAAGUGUUCCGCCUGGGGAGUACGGUCGCAAGAUUAAAACUCAAAGGAAUUGACGGGGGCCCGCACAAGCAGCGGAGCGUGUGGUUUAAUUCGACGCAACGCGAAGAACCUUACCAGGGCUUGACAUGCUAUGUUCAGUAGGGGAAACCUUAUGGCCGCAAGGCGAAUAGCACAGAUGCUGCAUGGCUGUCGUCAGCUCGUGUCGUGAGUGUUGGGUUAAGUCCCGCAACGAGCGCAACCCCUGUUCCUAGUUGCAAGAUCUAGGGAGACUGCCGGUAGAAAACCGGAGGAAGGUGGGGAUGACGUCAAGUCAGCAUGGCUCUUACGUCCUGGGCUACACACACGCUACAAUGGGCGGUACAAAGGGAAGCCAAGCCGCGAGGCGGAGCAAAUCCCAAAAAGCCGUUCUCAGUUCGGAUAGCAGGCUGCAACUCGCCUGCUUGAAGUCGGAGUUGCUAGUAACCGUGGGUCAGCACACUACGGUGAAUAUGUUCCCGGGCCUUGUACACACCGCCCGUCACGUCAUGGAAGCUGGUAAGACCUGAAGCCGGUGGGCUAACCGGUUAGCGCAAGCUAGCUGGAGGCAGCUGUCGAGGGUGGGACUAGUGACUGGGACGAAGUCGUAACAAGGUAACCGUA
Molecule: ribosomal RNA, 1485 nt
Filed under: uncultured bacterium
Lineage: Bacteria
Description: bacterial SSU rRNA
Rfam family: Bacterial small subunit ribosomal RNA
Source: RNAcentral